RNAcentral lists this ribosomal RNA (447 nucleotides) under uncultured bacterium. RNAcentral's name for it is "bacterial SSU rRNA". It matches the Rfam family "Bacterial small subunit ribosomal RNA", at positions 329 to 793 of the family's 1533-position model. The record is from RNAcentral.
CCCAGAACUCCUACGGGAGGCAGCAGUGGGGAAUAUUGCACAAUGGGGGGAACCCUGAUGCAGCAACGCCGCGUGGGUGAAGAAGUACUUCGGUAUGUAAAGCCCUGUCAGCAGGGAAGAAAAUGACGGUACCUGACCAAGAAGCCCCGGCUAACUACGUGCCAGCAGCCGCGGUAAUACGUAGGGGGCAAGCGUUAUCCGGAUUUACUGGGUGUAAAGGGAGCGCAGACGGCAGUGCAAGUCUGGAGUGAAAGCCCGGGGCCCAACCCCGGAACUGCCCUGGAAACUGUGCGGCUAGAGUACUGGAGGGGCAGGCGGAAUUCCUAGUGUAGCGGUGAAAUGCGUAGAUAUUAGGAGGAACACCGGUGGCGAAGGCGGCCUGCUGGACUGUAACUGACGUUGAGGCUCGAAAGCGUGGGGAGCAAACAGGAUUAGAUACCCCGGUAU